UACGUAGGUGGCAAGCGUUGUCCGGAAUUAUUGGGCGUAAAGCGCGCGCAGGCGGUCCUUAAAGUCUGAUGUGAAAGCCCACGGCUCAACCGUGGAGGGUCAUUGGAAACUGGGGGACUUGAGUGCAGGAGAGAAGAGUGGAAUUCCACGUGUAGCGGUGAAAUGCGUAGAGAUGUGGAGGAACACCAGUGGCGAAGGCGACUCUUUGGCCUGUAACUGACGCUGAGGCGCGAAAGCGUGGGGAGCAAACAGG
RNAcentral lists this ribosomal RNA (253 nucleotides) under uncultured bacterium. Its description in RNAcentral is "partial 16S ribosomal RNA". It matches the Rfam family "Bacterial small subunit ribosomal RNA", at positions 524 to 776 of the family's 1533-position model. The record is from RNAcentral.